AGAGUUUGAUCCUGGCUCAGAAUCAACGCUGGCGGCGUGCCUAACACAUGCAAGUCGAACGAGAAAGUGGAGCAAUCCAUGAGUAAAGUGGCGCACGGGUGAGUAACACGUGACUAACCUACCCUUGAGUGGGGAAUAACUUCGGGAAACCGAGGCUAAUACCGCAUAACACCUACGGGUCAAAGGAGCAAUUCGCUUAAGGAGGGGGUCGCGGCAGAUUAGUUAGUUGGCGGGGUAAUGGCCCACCAAGACGGUGAUCUGUAUCCGGCCUGAGAGGGCGCACGGACACACUGGAACUGAAACACGGUCCAGACUCCUACGGGAGGCAGCAGUGGGGAAUUUUGCGCAAUGGGGGAAACCCUGACGCAGCAACGCCGCGUGGAGGAUGAAGUCCCUUGGGACGUAAACUCCUUUCGAUCGGGACGAUUAUGACGGUACCGGAAGAAGAAGCCCCGGCUAACUUCGUGCCAGCAGCCGCGGUAAUACGAGGGGGGCGAGCGUUGUUCGGAAUUAUUGGGCGUAAAGGGCGCGUAGGCGGUUGGAUAAGUCUUGUGUGAAAUCUUCGGGCUCAACUCGAAGUCUGCACGAGAAACUAUCUGGCUUGAGUGUGGGAGAGGUGAGUGGAAUUCCUGGUGUAGCGGUGAAAUGCGUAGAUAUCAGGAGGAACACCUGUGGCGAAAGCGGCUCACUGGACCACAACUGACGCUGAGGCGCGAAAGCUAGGGGAGCAAACAGGAUUAGAUACCCUAGUAGUCC
RNAcentral lists this ribosomal RNA (756 nucleotides) under uncultured bacterium. RNAcentral's name for it is "bacterial SSU rRNA". It matches the Rfam family "Bacterial small subunit ribosomal RNA", at positions 8 to 796 of the family's 1533-position model. The record is from RNAcentral.